Molecule: ribosomal RNA, 468 nt
Filed under: uncultured bacterium
Lineage: Bacteria
Description: partial 16S ribosomal RNA
Rfam family: Bacterial small subunit ribosomal RNA
Source: RNAcentral
GACGAACGCUGGCGGCGUGCUUAACACAUGCAAGUCGAACGGAAAGGCCCUGCUUUUGUGGGGUGCUCGAGUGGCGAACGGGUGAGUAACACGUGAGUAACCUGCCCUUGACUUUGAGAUAACUUCAGGAAACUGGGGCUAAUACCGGAUAGGAGCUCCUGCUGCAUGGUGGGGGUUGGAAAGUUUCGGCGGUUGGGGAUGGACUCGCGGCUUAUCAGCUUGUUGGUGGGGUAGUGGCUUACCAAGGCUUUGACGGGUAGCCGGCCUGAGAGGGUGACCGGCCACAUUGGGACUGAGAUACGGCCCAGACUCCUACGGGAGGCAGCAGUGGGGAAUAUUGCACAAUGGGCGGAAGCCUGAGGCAGCAACGCCGGGUGCGGGAUGACGGCCUUCGGGUUGUAAACCGCUUUCGCAUGUGACGAAGCGUGAGUGACGGUAAUGGGUAAAGAAGCACCGGCUAACUACGUG